UGGGGAAUCGUCUAGUGGUAGGACUGCGGACUCUGACUCCGCCAACGGGGGUUCAAAUCCCUCUUCCCCAGCCA
RNAcentral lists this transfer RNA (74 nucleotides) under Gammaproteobacteria bacterium. RNAcentral's name for it is "tRNA-Gln". It matches the Rfam family "tRNA". Rfam says of the family: Transfer RNA (tRNA) molecules are approximately 80 nucleotides in length. Their secondary structure includes four short double-helical elements and three loops (D, anti-codon, and T loops). Lineage: Bacteria; Pseudomonadati; Pseudomonadota; Gammaproteobacteria. RNAcentral also lists the same sequence under 1 other name. The record is from RNAcentral.